This is a non-coding RNA of Rattus norvegicus (Norway rat), 9161 nucleotides long. The record is from RefSeq and is a predicted model, not a curated record. NCBI's taxonomy places the organism in Eukaryota, Metazoa, Chordata, Mammalia, Rodentia, Muridae.
CUGCCUAUCAGGUCCUGCUGGCCGGGGGUGGGGGUUGGGAGUAGCCUGCGGAGAGAUGGCGGUCCCCGAGGAAGGUGUGACCGCGGAUGGAGGAGGCAGGAGGCUGCAGGCCAAUAGAGAGACCUGGGGACUCAAGAACCACCUCUUCCAGCCCAGCCCAGCCUAAGAAAAGAUACAUCAAUAUCCUCAAUAUCAGGGACACUGACCGGGUGAAGGACGGAGCCCUCUGCUUCGUUAUUUCUGCUUGACGGACUGAGGAGUUCUUCCUACACACUGGUAAGCAGAGGCCAAGGACUCUGGACACAGCAACAAUCUAGAAGCUGUUGGACAGUGAACAACUUCUGGUUACCUUGUUCACCUGCAGGGAGAAGUACCUACAGACAGGCUUUCCAGACCCACAGCAAGCCUAACCACCGUGGAACACAGGUAGUUAGAGGGGACAGUGUACACUGGGCACAGAAGGCCACAUCCGUGGUGGGUUGUGCCUGAAGCCCUUCGGAUUUCUUGGACCAUCAGGGCUAGAUCUAAUUGAGAGGGGGGUGCUUUGAUGAUCUGAACUUUACAGGAGAGGAUGCUAGGGGGACCAAUUAGAGGGACCAAAGCCACACAUCGAGGAAGUAAUAGAACUAGAUCCAGAACUCAGCUUUGCCCGAUGCCAAAGCCCAGCUAUGAAGCACUCGUGCACAGUAUGAAGGAGGGGUGGAGGACAGAGAGAGGACAGUUUCUCACGUGUCGUCCAUCUUGUUUUUGAAACGGAGACUCACCACUGGCCUGACAUUGACCUGGGGCUGGCCAGCAAGCCCCAGAGAUCCACCUGUCUCUGCCUCCCCAGGCCUAUGAUUAUAAGUGCAUGUCGCCAUAUUGUUCUCUUUGAUUACCUGGAGAUUGAACUCAGGUCCUCCUGCUUGCAAGGCAGGCCCACUACUGACAUCUCUAGCCUGAGGCACUCCUAACGUUAUCGAGUACAGAAAUCCCAUUUCACCGUGGGGCCUCCGUGAUUGGAAUUUCUUCCUCCACAUGGGGCCUUCCCGUGGGUGGGGCUCUUCUGGUAGACUCCCCGGGAGAAUCUACCUCUCUUGUUGUAGAGACUGUCCUGCUUGCUCCUUUAACUUUGCCCUCUGCCUGGUAUCAGGGCCAGUGUGUCACCUCCAAAGGAAAUGUUUAUUCAGAAAUGCUAUCAGCUAAAUGCAGUGCAGUCUGAACACAGUGACUUCAAUGGGACUUAUUUGUCUGUGUAUGAACCGAUGACAAGAAUACUCCCACGGUAUGGUUAAGGGGAAGGUUUUUGUUGUAGAUGUGAAGGAGAGAGCAGCCAGAGGCAUCUGGAAGGGUCCAAGGCAGAGAAAUUAGUAGAAUGAAUAUGGACCAGCAGCCCAGACCUGGUCAUGACAGAAGCAGAGGCAGAGGAGAGAGACAGAGAAACCUAGAGAGGGGGAGGGGCAGGAGAGGGAAUGGCAGGAGGGGGAGGUGAGGGAAGGAGGGAGGGGGAAGACAAAGGGAGUGAGAUGGGGGGUGUCAAAAAGAGGGAGUGUAGCUGAAACUACAGGGAACCGGCUUUUGUCUGACCACCAGGAUUUGGGGAAAUGGAGUUCCUUUUGGACUCAACAGUCUGUUGUAAGAGACUGGCUGGUAGUUAGAGUCCUGACCUGAUGCCCUCAGGGUCCCUUGUGUGGCUACCAUGACUAGAGCUAGCUCAUGCUCACAAGAUGGCUGCUCCUCCUCCAGCCUCUUCUUUUUACUUCAGGAAAGAAGUAGAAGACAGGAAACAGGAAAGGGCCAAGGUCACAGCAGAGAAGCAACUUCUCGCACACGGACUUUGCCUUAAGUCUUGUUGGCUGGACCACAGAGUAACCCCCUACAAAGGACAUUAGGAAAUAAGCUUCAAGCAAAUGCUACCAUCUGCAGUAAAAUUGAAGUUCUGUCAGGGAAAAGAAGAGAAGGAUGUCAUAUCGAAGAGCAUCACCAGGAUCUCUCCGCUGGACUUUCCAUCCCUUGGUUUCAGGAAAUAGUUUCUGGUGCUAAAAAACACAAAAGCCCAGUUCUAGAGCAUAGUGGCAGGCCCUGGCUGCUAAGCCAUCCUGUCUCUGUGGGGAGAGCAGAGAGAAGGCUUCAGCCAUGUUACAGAGUGACUGUGUACAGGAGCUGUGAACACGCAGGGGAGAGGCCCAAUACACACAGGACAGCAGGGAAUCCUAUUAACUAUCAAGUGACACCCCAAGAAUAAGGAUGAUGAAGCAUUCUGACUGGAGUACAAAACCAGGGACAGCAGGGAUACAUGAGGCUGGGGAGAGACUGGAAAACCAAGUGUCGUACAAAGAAUGGAGGCCUUAUCCCCAGAGCACAGGGACAGCCACUGAAGACUUCUGAGUAGCAGGGGCUCUGAGCUGAUCUGCAUUCCCCAUAAGCCCAUCUGGCAACCAGAUGAGAGAGGAAAGGGGCGAGAUCCAGAAAGAGUUCCAGGAGCAGAGAUAUGAACUUGGACUGUGCAAGAGGUAGGGAGAAAAAAUUCAGGAGACGGCACUCAUGUGCCUGUGGUACACACGUCAGUGAGGAGUCCCACCACUCCUCUCACACACACAGUGCUUGCCACAUUCAUCCCCAGCAGAGAGGACCCAGAAGGACUAGCAGCCAUGGGGAAAGCCAGUGGUGUCCUAAGGAUUCACUUUGAGUUCACCCAGUUUGAACUACAUACAGGUAAAGAUGGGCAGCCGGAGUCUAAGUAUUUAUCCUUAUGCCCACAGAUGAUUGUAGCUCCCGUCUCUCACCAGAUAACUCUUCUGUGCAACAGAUGGACACCAUUCCAGAAAACCACCACUGGUCAAAGCACAGAGGGCAAGCGAUCGUGGCUGUUAAGUCCCAGGUGACACAUGUGCAUCCCAACUGUGUCACUGAAGACUCCUGGAACAUUCUGGAAGAUGUGGCGGAGGGCUUCAUUCUAAGAGCCAAAGGACCAGGAAGUCAGCUGUGAGACUGUCUCCUAGAAACAAAAGGGAAGCAUCUCUCUUGAUACUCAACAUUAUCAGUGUCUAAACAAGACCUGCUUGAGGAUGACAGCAGCAGCAGAUGUCCUAACAGAGAAAGAGGAAAUCUCACAGGCCCCACCCAUAGGCAAAGAACUACAGGCAGCUAAGGAAUUCGGAGAAAAAAGUCUUCCCCAAGGAGGAGCCUUACACUUGGCUACCCAAUGCCAAGUGGUCAGCCUUGAAAUCAUAUACAUACGAGUAACAUCAAAUGGACUGAACCGGUUGGGUUUACAUUUAUCUAUUUACAUUGUAUGUGUGUGUGUGUGUGUGUGUGUGUGUGUGUGUGUGUGUGUGUGUGCCAUGAGUUUGAGAGGGACCAGAGGAAGCGUUAGAGGGAAUAGAAGAACAGGAGAACAUGAUAUUAUAUUUCUUUUAAAUUAAAAUAAAUACUUUUGAAAGUGGGCAGCUGGUAGGUGGCUAUGCUGACUCAUUGCCCAGGAUAGACACAGAAGUCAAGAAAAGGGUGGGUGGAGGUACGCCAGCCCUCCGGGAAGGAGGAUGUCUCCCAGUGAGAGUGUGAGGAGAAGGACAUCCAGAAACGAAUGCAGCAACAUCUGCCCAAGAAAUAGAACCAGAGCGGAGGAAGGUAGGCCAGGGGAGAGAGUUGCCGGUAGAGACCAGAGGUCAUGUUCAAAGAGGAAGACUGAAGACCGACCAUGCUGUGAACAAGGUAUGACCUAAGGGGCAGCUACUGAGCUGACCAGGUCCUGCACUGAGGACCCAAGCAAGGGUGUCUCCAGCGGAUGAUAUGGUUGAAGGCCAGAUUCUGUGGGUGCAGGAGAACCCAGGAUAGAGAAAGUGUAAACGCACGGUGUUCCUGAUUUUUUUUUACUCACCGGUCACAAUUGGGUCAAAUUGUGUGAUGACUAAAGGCAAAAGUCUUUCUUGUAUAUGUUUUACUAUCUUAACUACUUUUUAUUUGUUCUCUCACAGUGACACACACACACACACACACUUACUUUGGCCACAUCUCCCCACCUCCCAGUAUCCUCUCUUCCCUCUCCUCUCUCACUAAACCCUUUCAUGCUCCCAGCAACCCCCUCCUACUUUCAUAUUUUUCUCUCUGCUGUUGCUAAUUUGUUUUUGUUUUGUUUCCUUGUGACCCACUGAAUUUAAUUAGGGCUACCCGCACGAGCAUGGGUGGGGAGUUAUUUACUCGAGCAAGAACAACCUUCCAGUAGCUAGCCCACUGAGGACUGUGACUCUCUCUGCCUCAGCAACCAUUAAUUGCCUGUGGUUCCUCAGGGAGGGGUGGGACCUUGUGAGCCCCUCCCUUGUCCAUGAUGGAAUGUUGUGAGUUCAUGAUGCAAAAGCCAUGUCCUGUCCAGAAGACAGCAUUUAUGGUACUCCUUCUCGCCCUUGGGCUGUCCUGUCUAGUGCUUUGUGCUCAAUGGUCACUUAGCCAUCUGAGUCUCUCCACUCACUGAGGAUGCUUCUCUAACCAAGGCCAAGUACUGAUGUAUGGUAAAAACAGUAUUUAAAAGGCACUUUGACACCAUGUCCAUCUAGCAAAACAAAAGUAACAGGUUCUCCCUCUAAGGCCUAUGAUCUCCUUAGCCGUGGGUUUUUGACCAGGUUUACAGUACCUGGUCUGGAUUCCUCCUGCGAAGCAGGUCUACAAGCCAAUAAGAAAGUGGUUGGUUGGGGUUGGGGAUUUAGCUCAGUGGUAGAGCGCUUGCCUAGCAAACGCAAGGCCCUGGGUUCGGUCCUCAGCUCCGAAAAAAAGAAAGUGGUUGGUUGGCCACGACAGUCACACCACUACUGCUUGGUGGUGUAACUCUCGGGGUUCGCACUAGAAUAGGACCAUUGAUGGCAUUCCUUCUCCAGUGCCUGUACGGCACUUAGAGCCUUUGAGCACUCAGAGACCAGCCGGCAGUAAGACGCUCCUAGUUCAGGUUCAGAUUGAUGUCGCUAUAUCCUGCAACUGAAGUGUAAGACACCUUCAGCAAUAUGGUCUUUAUCAACUAGUUCUAGUGGGCCAUUCAGAGCAAUGGCUGUGGCCUGAAUUGUUUUGAGAGCCCUUCGGUCCUUCCCGGCCAACAAUUCAUGAGGCGAUACCCUACCCAAUUUUAUAUCUUUAUUUAACACAUACUUCUAACGAUGGGAAUUCAUUUAAUACUCUAAAUAAUCCAAUGAAAGAAUCCUAGAGAGAUGGUUCAGUGAUUAAGCGUGAGUACAGCUUUUGCAGAGGACUAGAGUUCAGUUCCCAGCACCCAUGUCAGAUGACUCACAGCUGCCUGUAACUACAGUGGGGGGGGGUCUAGUACCCUCUUCUGGCUGCCUCGAGCAACUGCACGUACACGCACAUACCCUCACACAGACACACGUACAUACACAUAAUGAACAACAAAUCUUUUUUUAAAAAGAAAGAAAGAAGGAAAGAAAGAAAGAAAGAAAGAAAGAAAGAAAGAAAGAAAGAAAGAAAGAAAGAAAGGAAGAAAGAAAGAAAGAAAAACUAAGGCACAGAGAAGUACAAUAACUUGGUCAGUCACACAGCUACUAAGUGGCAGAGCCCAGACAGAAAGUUAUAGAGUCUAAGCACAUGGGGACUCUUGCACAGAGUCUGAGAGCCACAACUGUAAGGCUAGCCAAGCCCAGAGCCCAUGGAGGAAUGCCUCAUCCAUCUCUGCCCCUUAGAAAUCAUUCCCUUCUCCUAAAAAAGAAGGCUGGUAGGUUCUCCUUAAGGAGAACUUAAGGAACCAAUCUGGUCCAUUCUCCUUAAACAAAAGCCCAAGAAAAGCUGUAGCCACUGGUGGGUCCUGUAGGUCCAACUACAAGACCACUGUUUUGCUCUUCCCUGUCCUGGGAUUCUGGCCCUCCAGCAUGGGUGUCCUUGGGGCCCUUCUACCUGCCAUUGUCUCUCCCUCUCAGCUCUCAGACACGCUCUAGCCUCCCCUCCCCUAAGAAAAUGCAGUGUAACAAGUGAGGUGUAUUACAGCACCAGAGUUUCAUUCUCCCUGCUGCUCUCCAUUUUGUCCGGGAUGUACCAGGCCUGGCAUGCAUGCCCAGGAUAGUGACCACUCAUGAUGACUUUUUCAGGAUGUGCUAGGACUUUUUCUGUUGUGUUAGCUUCUGGUCUUAGCCAGUGCAAAGAAAGGAGAAACUCCUACAGGCCUCUCCCACACCUCCCAUGCCCACUCUUUCGAUAGUGCUUCCUUGGAGAAGGGGGUCCAGCCUGCCCUAUCUACACUCCACCCAUUCAUGAUCAGGUCAUAGCCCCAGCCCAUGCUAUGGCGGGUUCAUUGUCACUCCUGUAAGUAGAGGGGUCAACUCUGCAGGCACACAUUCAGCAAGCAUUUGGUGCUCUCUCAGUCCUCCACAGAGGGACCUGAAGAGCCACGGGUCUUGCUGUCUCAAGGCUGCUGAGUGGAUAGAGAGCCACAGUUGGUCUCUGCCAUGGUUCUUGUCUCUAACAUGCUUGCUGAUCUGUACCCAAUAGUCUUCAAAAAACAGUCUACAGUGUUCUAACUCAGCCACGAAGGUUGUAUUUUUGUUGAAUUCCCAUCACUCCGCAGAUUAGAUUGGGCUGAAUUUUGUGCUUUUCCUAAUUCUUUCCCAAUAUGAUUGUUACCUAAAGCCAGUAACAAGAGUUUGCAGUGUAUCAAUCAUCUUUACUAUGUGCAGUGUUACACAUGAUAGGGGCUUUUCUUCCCGAUCUCAUGAAUGACUGUGCCGGCAACCAUGAGUUAUUCAACCAUCUGCUGGGUUUGAAUGGCGGAAAUUUCUGUAAUGUGCUCAUGUAUAAAUAAUAUUUUUUCCCCAAGCCCUUUGCCUUAAGACUGAGGACCAGCAGUGACUUGCUAAGUUCAGUCAGCACGAACUCAGCUGGGGAUCUUUCUCUCUAUUUAAGGUCACCUCCCCUGCUGUAUUUCCAUCACGUAGGUCCCUUCUUCCUAGGGUGACAUCUUUCUGGCCUCCAUAGUGCAAGGGUAGCAUUCCAGGGUGGGGUGGGGUGGGGUGGGAUGGGGUGUGUGACCUGACCACACCAGCUGUGGAAGACCUCCCAGUGAAUCCUCUCAGGUCCUCCUUGUCCCUAACCUUCCACCGGAAGCUCUGCAGCUCAGAAGCUGACCGAGAGUGCCACAAGUGAAGCUGCUUUGAAGACGGACUCUCCCUCCCCUCAGCCCCCCGGACCUCACAUGGUUGGAUUAUUCACCUGCACACGCAAAGUGCUGGGCUUUGUGAUCCAAAGCAGGGCUACCUUCUUGACUCCGUCCUGUGUGUCUCCAGGCAAGUCACUUAACUUCCUCCUGCAGCUGGACUCACAGAUCACCAUUGCUGGAGCUGUGGCUUUCUUCUAGGCAGGUGCUGUCCUCUUGUUCCCUCCCUGGAUGUAGUGAACUUGUUUUGUUUGUUGAUUUUUUGCCUUGCCUGGGCCCAAGUCCUCUCCACAGCUGGCUUAGCUUCCUCCCAGACCCAUGAAGGAUAUAGUUCCAGGCCCAGGAGCUCUCCAGAGCUGGCAUAAUCUCCCUCCAAGUUUAUGUGGAGAGCUUGGGGGGUCUCUGCACCAACCUCAAAUUCCAUCCUUCCUCCAGGGAUCCUAGGGUGAGUCUUACUUGCAGUAUGUACACAGACAUGCGCAGGGUGUACACACACACACACACACACACACACACACACACACACACACGAGAGAAAGAGAGAGACAGACAGACAGACAGACAAGACAGACAGAGAAAGGAGAGAGCACUCUGUGACAACAGGCUUCCUCAGUUCUCUCAGAAUGCCUGCCUUCCCCUCCUGCUCUGUGUCUUUGUACUUUCCCACCACAAAGUCAAGCCUAGAAGUCCUCAUGAGGAGGCCUGAGGAUCCUUGCCUACUUCCUAGAUUUCCCACAAACACCUAGAUCAGCACCUGACCUCUCUGUACCAGGUGUCCUGCCUGUGCCAUGUACCCUGUACCCUGUACCCUGUACCCUGGCUCUGGGUCUAGGUGGGCCCCUCUCUCCUCAGAAUUCUGUUCCUCAGUCUUUCCUCAGCGUCCACAGUCUCUUUCCCCUCUAUCUGUGGUGUCCUCCAUUCCUGGAAGGGCCUUGAUCUCCCUGUCCCACCUUCCCCUCCUUCAGGAUCCUUGCCCCGGUCCUAGCCCCUUAGUGGUGAGCCCUGAUUUUCUCGCCUCUGAAGGGAUGGGUACCCUGUUUUGGUACUCUACACCCUCACUACCGACUGUGCUUGGGUUGACUCCCUGCCAGGUGGCUUGUGAGAUUUAGGAUAGGGAACAAGUACGCACAAGAACAGACAUCAGGACACCAUUGCAGAACACCCAGCUGGAUGGAUCCAAUAAGCACCUGCUUCUCCUGGCCUCUCAAGCACAUACUUCCUGCACAUCUUUGUUCCCUGCUGAACACAGAUAAAGCCUGGGUGUUGGGACGGAACAGGGGUUUCCAGCCCCAUCUCAGAGCUCCAACCUCUUCCUGUUUCAGGACACUUCACCUGGGCUUAGGACUUGUAAUACACCUUUGACCAUAUCUGUGAAGGUGGGGUGAGUCACCUGAUGAGGUCACUGAAGGCCAGCCUCCUCCCAGUUCAUGGUCACAGGGACAGAGGGUGUGGUUCUCUGCAUUGGGCAUUUGAGAGAAAAUGCUUGCUGUAUUAGCACAGAGCUGGCAGAGGAUGAGAGUGGCCAGGGAAGAUUCUGAACAUCUCACAAUGUGAGUGUCGAACCCACAGGGGAUGCUGGGCUCCUAGCUCUGAGAACUUCCUUCUGACCACAGUGGAAUUGGUACUCUAUGAAGGAUAUAGUUGCUGUUUGCCCCAGCCCAAGUCUGCCUCUCUCUUGAUGAGAGCACUGCCUGACCCUUCUUGGGACCACCACCCUCAAACACUCACAGGUUAGGAAGGAUAAGUGCGUAGACACCCACCGAGGCAGGAGGAUGUAGGCCAGUCCUAGGUACCCAGGCCUCUGCUGAAGCAGACAGGCCAAUAUGUUUCUCUUGGGGAGUAGGGCUACUAUCCUCAGCGUGAAGGUCUGGGGAGUACUGGAAAGAAAGUUCUCUAGGAAGGAGUGAAGAGAAAGCUAGGCAGGUGGAACCACGAUGACUGAGGCCAGUGGCCGUAUCCUCCAGGCUCUGUGUCCCUCUUGGUCACUCCAUCUGGACUUUGCAAUUCUGAGAGCUAAUAAAUUCUCUUUAUGAUUUAA